This 292-nucleotide ribosomal RNA is filed under the name uncultured bacterium. RNAcentral's name for it is "partial 16S ribosomal RNA". It matches the Rfam family "Bacterial small subunit ribosomal RNA", at positions 505 to 796 of the family's 1533-position model. The record is from RNAcentral.
GUGCCAGCCGCCGCGGUAAUACAGAGGUGGCGAGCGUUAUUCGGAAUUAUUGGGCGUAAAGGGCGCGUAGGCGGCUUGACAAGUCCCGGGUGAAAUCCCUCGGCUCAACCGAGGAACUGCCUUGGAAACUGUCUGGCUUGAGGCCGGGAGAGGGUAGUGGAAUUCCCAGUGUAGCGGUGAAAUGCGUAGAUACUGGGAGGAACACCGGUGGCGAAGGCGGCUACCUGGACCGGUUCUGACGCUGAGGCGCGAAAGCGUGGGUAGCAAACAGGAUUAGAAACCCCCGUAGUCC